UAAGACGGAGGGCGCAAACGUUGUUCGGAAUCACUGGGCGUAAAGGGCGCGUAGGCGGGUCGGUAAGUCAGACGUGAAAUCCCGGGGCUCAACUCCGGGCCUGCGUUUGAAACUGCCAGCCUAGAGUGCAGGAGAGGAAGGCGGAAUUCCAGGUGUAGCGGUGGAAUGCGUAGAUAUCUGGAAGAACACCAGUGGCGAAGGCGGCCUUCUGGACUGACACUGACGCUGAGGCGCGAAAGCUAGGGGAGCAAACAGGAUUAGAUACCCUGGUAGUCCUAGCCGUAAACGAUGGGUACUAGGUGCUGGGCGUUUCGACACGUUCAGCGCCGCAGCUAACGCAUUAAGUACCCCGCCUGGGGAGUACGGCCGCAAGGCUG
RNAcentral lists this ribosomal RNA (377 nucleotides) under uncultured bacterium. RNAcentral describes it as "bacterial SSU rRNA". It matches the Rfam family "Bacterial small subunit ribosomal RNA", at positions 521 to 896 of the family's 1533-position model. The record is from RNAcentral.